CAGAAUCGCAAGCAGCCUCUCCUAGCUCUGUCGUGGGAUCACAGAACCUCCAGUGCUCUGCCCCUGGCUUAAUCUUGUCCUCAGCACAGUUCUGGACACAGACAUGGACACUCCCAUUUUACUGAAGGAAACCAGCCCAGGCUCACACAGCUGGAGUCCUCAGGAGAUCCCUAUUGAGUCAGCUGGAUUUCUUCUCUGACGACCACCCUCUCCCCCCGUUCACCUCUCCCUUAAUGAAGUUGAUACCAAGGGAGUGAAAUCAAAGUCCGAAAAACAGCCUCUGCAGAAAGAAAAUGCUCAGCUUAAGAUCCAAAAGAAUCAGGAAGCUGGGACUGAAAGAAUGGGAGCAGUGGAAGGGGAGAAGCAGCUGUCAGCCACAGAGGAGAAAGUGAAAUUAGCUGCAGAAGAGCUUCGGAACUACAAGUGAGUUCAGCUCCUACCAGCAGCUCUCACGACAGCCAUUUUAUUACUUUGAAACUUUGUACAGUGUUUAGAGCCAAGUAGCACACACAUACACACAAACAUUCAGGAGACAUUCAUUUUUAUAGAGACUUCAAGAGAGAUGUGACAUUUUCCA
Molecule: long non-coding RNA, 577 nt
Filed under: Felis catus (domestic cat)
Lineage: Eukaryota; Metazoa; Chordata; Mammalia; Carnivora; Felidae
Description: lncRNA (ENSFCAG00000051165.1)
Source: RNAcentral